GAUGAACGCUGGCGGCGUGCCUAAUACAUGCAAGCCGAGCGAACAGACGAGGAGCUUGCUCCUCUGACGUUAGCGGCGGACGGGUGAGUAACACGUGGAUAACCUACCUAUAAGACUGGGAUAACUUCGGGAAACCGGAGCUAAUACCGGAUAAUAUAUUGAACCGCAUGGUUCAAUAGUGAAAGGCGGUUUUGCUGUCACUUAUAGAUGGAUCCGCGCCGCAUUAGCUAGUUGGUAAGGUAACGGCUUACCAAGGCAACGAUGCGUAGCCGACCUGAGAGGGGGAUCGGCCACACUGGAACUGAGACACGGUCCAGACGCCGACGGGAGGCAGCAGUAGGGAAUCUUCCGCAAUGGGCGAAAGCCUGACGGAGCAACGCCGCGUGAGUGAUGAAGGUCUUCGGAUCGUAAACUCUGUUAUUAGGGAAGAACAAAUGUGUAAGUAACUAUGCACGUCUUGACGGUACCUAAUCAGAGAGCCACGGCUAACUACGUG
RNAcentral lists this ribosomal RNA (496 nucleotides) under uncultured bacterium. Its description in RNAcentral is "partial 16S ribosomal RNA". It matches the Rfam family "Bacterial small subunit ribosomal RNA", at positions 28 to 507 of the family's 1533-position model. The record is from RNAcentral.